AUACCUUCUCGGCCUUUGGCUAAGAUCAAGUGUAGUAUCUGUUCUAAUCAGUGUGAAAACUGGUUUCCCUGCUUUUGGUGGGGUCUUUUUCACAUUUAUUUUUGGAACUGCUGCUUUCGGUUAGCUUGCUAGCCAAUCGCGGUACGGUCUCCGGGGGCUUUCACCUAUCCCUCGUGAGGCCAACUACUA
This is a small nuclear RNA of Phytophthora sojae, 189 nucleotides long. It matches the Rfam family "U2 spliceosomal RNA". From Rfam's summary of the family: U2 is a small nuclear RNA (snRNA) component of the spliceosome (involved in pre-mRNA splicing). Complementary binding between U2 snRNA (in an area lying towards the 5' end but 3' to hairpin I) and the branchpoint sequence (BPS) of the intron results the bulging out of an unpaired adenosine, on the BPS, which initiates a nucleophilic attack at the intronic 5' splice site, thus starting the first of two transesterification reactions that mediate splicing. The record is from Rfam. Lineage: Eukaryota; Oomycota; Peronosporomycetes; Peronosporales; Peronosporaceae.